GACUGACAGCCUGGACCCACCUGCCUUCCUGAUUUCUGUUCCAGAGCAAAGGUCACGCAGCUGCUGGCACCUCCUUUUUUUUCCCCUCUCUCUCAGCUCCAUUUGCUUUAUAAGGAAGGUCAGCUUUGCCAAGUUCUUGCAGUCGUUCCGUGAACCAGAACAUUCCCAGUGAAAGAUGGCGGAGAAUUCGAUCUUGCUGGCUGUUCUCUCGCUCCUCUCUGCCUGUCAGCAAAGUUAUUUUGCUUUGCAGGUAGGAAAGGCAAGAUUAAAAUACAAAGUGAUGCCUCCGGCUGUCUCUGGGUCGCCAGAGUUUGAGAGAAUAUUUCGUGCACAACAAAACUCUUUAGAGUUUUACCCAAUAUUCAUUAUUACAUUGUGGGUGGCUGGAUGGUAUUUCAACCAAGUUUUUGCUACUUGUUUGGGUCUGGUGUACAUCUACGCCCGUCACCGGUAUUUCUGGGGAUAUUCAGAAGCUCCUAAAAAAAGGAUCACUGGUUUCCGGUUAAGUCUGGGGGUUUUGGCCUUGUUGGCUGUCCUAGGUGCUGUGGGGAUUACAAACAGCUUUCUGGAUGAAUAUCUGGACCUCAAUAUUGCCAAGAAACUGAGGCACUUCUAAAGUGGCCCUCUCCUUUUGCUCAAAUGCCUGCAGAAGAUGUUUCCACUCUGAAGACAUUACAUGUACAUCAGCACCUUAGUAAGAACAAAAACAAAACAAAACCACCUUAUUAAAAUCUACCUCUAUUUACUUGGUCCCAGUACUGAGCAUUUGGAGGAAGCUUUUAAAAGAUAAUGGAGCCCCCCCCUCCCCCUCCAUCACCACCUCCAGUUUUCCAUCGUUGCUUAGAGAUUCAUUUCUUGGACCUUUCAGAAAAAGGUAAUUAUAUAUUCUGUCUUCUCGUUGGUUUACUUCUGUUUUUGGUUAUCAUCCCUGGCCACUCAAGACGUUCCCUGGUGGGUCCCUCCCCACACAGGGAGUUCUCGGUCACCCUGCCACCACCUCUUCCCAGAGGGAACACAACCCCGCCCGGUCCCUUGCUCUGAGUAGCCUUGUGACCUUGGCAUUGGGUGAGCAAGUCAAGGGCAGGGUUUGCCGGGCUGCCCCUGCCUCUACCUCCUCUGCCCCAGCUCUUCCUUCGAACCCCCCUCCCAGGACCUGCUCCCGGAGCUGCGCUGGGGCUCUGCAGCGCUGAGUUACACGUGAGUGUGCAGAGGGGAAGCCUGCCUUUGGACACAGAGGGGAGGGGUGGCAGGAGAAAAACACUCGCUUCUCUCACUCAGGACAAUGGCUGUGCCACGUGGCCUGCAAACCUGGACAGCAGGAGGGGAGGCAAGGAG
Phacochoerus africanus (Common warthog) is the source of this 1335-nucleotide RNA transcript. It is a transcript of the gene named microsomal glutathione S-transferase 2, with no coding region annotated. NCBI's taxonomy places the organism in Eukaryota, Metazoa, Chordata, Mammalia, Artiodactyla, Suidae. The record is from RefSeq and is a predicted model, not a curated record. The transcript has 6 exons.